CCCGUCCUUGUCUGGGGCUGAUGCAGUUCGAUGAACGUUACGUGAGAGCAGCGUGCUGACUCCCAUUGACACAAUAAGACCCGCACCGCUUGACUUAACUAGUUAGGUUUGGGUGCAAUUUUUGGAACC
This is a small nuclear RNA of Uloborus diversus, 129 nucleotides long. RefSeq annotates it as U4atac minor spliceosomal RNA. The record is from RefSeq and is a predicted model, not a curated record. Lineage: Eukaryota; Metazoa; Arthropoda; Arachnida; Araneae; Uloboridae. The transcript has a single exon.